GUAUUUAUUAUAGUUAUUUACAUUCAUUACAUUAUGUUUGUAGUGUGCCCGAAGGCAAAUAGUUCACAGGUGUUAAAGGAUGAUAAAAGCUCAGCUGUAAAGCGUCGCCAUUUAUUAAUGAUCCUUCCGCAGGUUCACCUACGGAAA
RNAcentral lists this unclassified non-coding RNA (147 nucleotides) under uncultured fungus. RNAcentral's name for it is "sequence contains ITS1". The record is from RNAcentral. Lineage: Eukaryota; Fungi.